This 466-nucleotide ribosomal RNA is filed under the name uncultured bacterium. RNAcentral's name for it is "bacterial SSU rRNA". It matches the Rfam family "Bacterial small subunit ribosomal RNA", at positions 332 to 793 of the family's 1533-position model. The record is from RNAcentral.
GUGACUCUACGGGAGGCAGCAGUGGGAAUAUUGCACAAUGGGGGAAACCCUGAUGCAGCCAUGCCGCGUGUGUGAAGAAGGCCUUCGGGUUGUAAAGCACUUUCAGUAGGAGGAAGGUAGUGUAGUUAACACCUGCACUAUUUGACGUUACCUACAGAAGAAGCACCGGCUAACUCCGUGCCAGCAGCCGCGGUAAUACGGGAGGGUGCGAGCGUUAAUCGGAAUUACUGGGCGUAAAGCGCAUGCAGGCGGCCUGUUAAGUCAGAUGUGAAAGCCCGGGGCUUAACCUCGGAAUUGCAUUUGAAACUGGCAGGCUAGAGUCUUGUAGAGGGGGUAGAAUUUCAGGUGUAGCGGUGAAAUGCGUAGAGAUCUGAAGGAAUACCAGUGGCGAAGGCGGCCCCCUGGACAAAGACUGACGCUCAGAUGCGAAAGCGUGGGGAGCAAACAGGAUUAGAUACCCUGGUAG